UAGCUCAGUUGGUAGAGUGCUUGCCUUGCAUGCACAAAGCCCUGGGUUCAAUUCCUAG
Molecule: transfer RNA, 58 nt
Filed under: Marmota marmota marmota (Alpine marmot)
Lineage: Eukaryota; Metazoa; Chordata; Mammalia; Rodentia; Sciuridae
Also listed under: 3 other names
Rfam family: tRNA
About the family: Transfer RNA (tRNA) molecules are approximately 80 nucleotides in length.
Source: Rfam by way of RNAcentral